UGAACUCGUCGAGCACGCGAAGCGUGGACAUCCACGAUAGCUGAAAUAUCGAAAUAUUCGCUUACCUCGUAAACUCGCGGUCGUUCGUGUGAGGGCGUUGUGUAAGAUCCAGAGGGCAAUAUGGCUGAUCGAACUACAAAGUGAUGUGACGAGAUCAACGUGUAAUCGCCGAAUGAAAAAUGACGCCACGAAGAAAGAGCGGGAAGAAGUGAGCAUCGCAGGGAGGGCACGUAUUAGGUUAUUGUAGAUUCAUUUGCAAUGUCGUAACGAUACGUUUUUGAACGUUCUUUCGGGCGGGAAGUUUUAAAAUUUUAUCUCGCUUAUAAAAAUCAUAGAUAUUGUACAGAUAUUAUUUAUAAUAGUGUAACUUUUUUAAGACAGUUAAUGACUUUACCUCGAUGCUAAUUAUAACAUGUUACAUAAAUAAAUAUAAAUUAUCGUUGAAAUGGAACAUAUUAUUUUGAAUCGGAAAUAUUCCAGGAUUUUCGAAUAGAGGUAAAAAAAUGAGUUAGUUAUCAGUUUACAUUUGAAAAAAUAAAUGCGGUAAUCGUGGCUAAAUAUUUGUACAUCUACAUAUAAUUCAUUUUGAAUGCUACCAUUUUACAAUGUAUAUAUAAUGUAAAAUUUACAAAAUAUAAUCAAAGUUAUAUAAAAUUUACAAAAAUAGCUUAGCUGUGAUAUUUUGGGAAGAUAAUAUUAGGAUGAAUUUUAUAACAAAGCUCACAACAUUUAUUGGUUAAUGUCAAAAAAUAUGAAAUGGGAAAAGUAAACGUAUCGGACAUAGUCAAAAUUUGAGAUAAAUAUAAUUCUAUAACGAUCACUUUCUUUUUUUUUUUUUUUAUAUAUAUAUUUUUUUUCUUUUUCUUUUUCUUUUAUAGUAAUCUAAUAAGAAUAACGAUUUUUAGCAAAAUGUAUCCAUGCCUAAAUGCUUGAAUUUUAUAAAAACCAUAUCAAGAAAUGGUCUCGUACAUUUUAGACUAGAUUUCAUACUUUAACGUAUUUUAUAUACCACGAUGAAUAUGGCAGUUUUCAAGAUCAGCAUUUUGUAUAUCGCUUCUUAAGAUAUAUAUAACUGCAAUUGCCAUUAAGACUGUCAAUAUUAUAGAAAAUAUUUGCAGAUAUUUUAAUUCUUUGUAUAAUUUGUUGCAAUUUUCUUCCAAAUGAAUUACCUAAAAUAUUGUAUGUAAUAUACAAUUUGAAAUACGUAUCCAUAAUGAUAACGAAUUAAUUUUUAUUCCAUAUACCUUAGAACAAAGUGUGUCUAUUGUACGAUUCUCUUCUAUGGAACCAGAUGAUAAUAUAGAAUAUGUUUUCUGUACUUCAUUGUUCUCAUUUGCACCAUCGCAACAUCUUAAUCUGUGUUGCUCAGCAGGUUUGCCGGACUAUACAUAAAUACACAUAAUAUUUUAUGUUAUAUAAAAAAUGUACAACUACAUUUUGUAGGCAUACCUUCCAUAUUGUCGUUAAUUCUUGUGCGGUUGCAGCAGCGUUUUUAACAGGAAGACACAUUACCAGAAAUCUAUCAUUAUUUGAGAGACCACGCAGAUUGUAUCCUGGUUGAAAAACGACUGUAACGCUGCACCGUUCGGAAGGAGAUAUAAUACCUGAACUUGGUCUUACCCUAAAUUUCUGUGGUGACGUAGUUUUAAUCUAAAAUAUAUAAAACAUUUUUUAAAUUAUAAAUAAUUAAUAUAAGAGAUAAAUCGUUGGAAAUAAUAGAAAAAUAUUUAACUGUACUUUGUAAGAUAAAGGCUUAUCAGUUGUGACAUUUUUUAAUAUAAUUCUGCCAACGAUUUCAUUUCCUUCUUUGUUGAACGUAACUGCUUCUGGUUCAAUUAAGAGCACUGAAAAAAGUAAGUUAAAAAAUAAAAUAAAUUUCUUUUUAUUACAAUACAAUAUAAUUUUAUUGUAUAUAAAUUUUAUUACUUUAAUUGUCUACAUCUAUAAAUCAUAUGUACUUACAUUGUUCUUCACUUACUUGAUCUCCAAAUCCACUAGGGGGUUGUUCCGUUAAUGGAGAACUUUCAACGAAAUGUACCUGCACGUGUAAUUUAAUAAAAUUAAAUAAGUGAUAAAGACAAAUUAAAAAUUAUA
Vespula pensylvanica (western yellowjacket) is the source of this 2094-nucleotide long non-coding RNA. RefSeq lists it as uncharacterized. The record is from RefSeq and is a predicted model, not a curated record. Lineage: Eukaryota; Metazoa; Arthropoda; Insecta; Hymenoptera; Vespidae. The transcript is spliced from 2 exons.